GGCCAGGUGCCCGAGUGGUUAGGGAGCGGUCUGCAAAACCGCGUACAGGGGUUCGAUUCCCCUUCUGGCCU
Non-coding RNA from Candidatus Berkelbacteria bacterium, 71 nucleotides. Lineage: Bacteria; Candidatus Berkelbacteria. The record is from Rfam.